CAGCAGGAGGGAUGGUUGUGGCUGCUUACCCAGAAAGCUUUGGAAGUGGGCCCGAGAGCAGCCAUACUACGCAGGCUCUUUUGCUAAUGUUUUAAAAAAGCAGACAAGACAACUGAAGGUCCGAGCCUGAUGUCUAAAUGUUCUGACUAUACAGGACCCUCUGGACUUCAGAAUGAGAUCAUGCUGCUAUAGCUGAAUGGGUGCACUGGAAGAACAUUUCUGAAUACUCUUCACCCCUUCCAAUUUGUUUAUCUAUACAGGAGUGAAAAACUAUAUGUAGAAAAAUCUCUGAAAGUUAGAAGUAGUUUGUGCACUAACAUGUCAGAAUCUGUGGGAAAAUGCUGACUUUGCCCUCAUGCUCUGCGUUGUUUUUUAUCAUUUUCCACUACUGUACAGAAAAAUACAUACUGUGAAUUCUCAAAGUGCCUCAUCUGUGAUUGCCUGCAGUACAGGAGACUUCAUUUUAGGAGUCUCCUAAAGUCUCCAAGUCCUACCUGAGACAUAGAUUCUACAUAGCUGGAUGAGACAGUCAUGAUCGUAGAGGUCUUUUGCACAUCAGUAGAAGACCAAGAGAGUGAAAGCAAGAGGGUACCAAAUUAAUCACUGAAGGUAAC
This is a long non-coding RNA of Numida meleagris (helmeted guineafowl), 614 nucleotides long. RefSeq lists it as uncharacterized. The transcript is spliced from 3 exons. The record is from RefSeq and is a predicted model, not a curated record. NCBI's taxonomy places the organism in Eukaryota, Metazoa, Chordata, Aves, Galliformes, Numididae.